RNAcentral lists this transfer RNA (72 nucleotides) under Phrynosoma platyrhinos (Desert horned lizard). RNAcentral describes it as "tRNA-OTHER". The record is from RNAcentral. Lineage: Eukaryota; Metazoa; Chordata; Lepidosauria; Squamata; Phrynosomatidae.
GCCAAUGUGGUAUAGUGGUUUGAGUAUUGGACUACGACUCUGGAGACCAAGGUUUGAUUCCCCACUUUGACA